GUCUCCACCCGAGACUCAGUGAAAUUGAACUCGCUGUGAAGAUGCAGUGUACCCGCGGCAAGACGGAAAGACCCCGUGAACCUUUACUAUAGCUUGACACUGAACAUUGAGCCUUGAUGUGUAGGAUAGGUGGGAGGCUUUGAAGUGUGGACGCCAGUCUGCAUGGAGCCGGCCUUGAAAUACCACCCUUUAAUGUUUGAUGUUCUAACGUGGACCCGUGAUCCGGGUUGCGGACAGUGUCUGGUGGGUAGUUUGACUGGGGCGGUCUCCUCCUAAAGAGUAACGGAGGAGCACGAAGGUUGGCUAAUCCUGGUCGGACAUCAGGAGGUUAGUGCAAUGGCAUAAGCCAGCUUGACUGCGAGCGUGACGGCGCGAGCAGGUGCGAAAGCAGGUCAUAGUGAUCCGGUGGUUCUGAAUGGAAGGGCCAUCGCUCAACGGAUAAAAGGUACUCCGGGGAUAACAGGCUGAUACCGCCCAAGAGUUCAUAUCGACGGCGGUGUUUGGCACCUCGAUGUCGGCUCAUCACAUCCUGGGGCUGAAGUAGGUCCCAAGGGUAUGGCUGUUCGCCAUUUAAAGUGGUACGCGAGCUGGGUUUAGAACGUCGUGAGACAGUUCGGUCCCUAUCUGCCGUGGGCGCUGGAGAACUGAGGGGGGCUGCUCCUAGUACGAGAGGACCGGAGUGGACGCAUCACUGGUGUUCGGGUUGUCAUGCCAAUGGCACUGCCCGGUAGCUAAAUGCGGAAGAGAUAAGUGCUGAAAGCAUCUAAGCACGAAACUUGCCCCGAGAUGAGUUCUCCCUGAGACUUAGAGUCUCCUGAAGGAACGUUGAAGACGACGACGUUGAUAGGCCGGGUGUGUAAGCGCAGCGAUGCGUUGAGCUAACCGGUACUAAUGAACCGUGAGGCUUAACCUUACAACGCCGAAG
This 925-nucleotide ribosomal RNA is filed under the name Salmonella enterica subsp. enterica serovar Schwarzengrund. RNAcentral describes it as "partial 23S ribosomal RNA". It matches the Rfam family "Bacterial large subunit ribosomal RNA", at positions 2018 to 2925 of the family's 2925-position model. The record is from RNAcentral. Lineage: Bacteria; Pseudomonadati; Pseudomonadota; Gammaproteobacteria; Enterobacterales; Enterobacteriaceae.